This 256-nucleotide unclassified non-coding RNA is filed under the name plant metagenome. RNAcentral's name for it is "partial contains small subunit ribosomal RNA, internal transcribed spacer 1, and 5.8S ribosomal RNA". The stretch from base 1 to 54 matches the Rfam family "Eukaryotic small subunit ribosomal RNA", at positions 1778 to 1831 of the family's 1831-position model. The record is from RNAcentral.
GGAAGUAUAAGUCGUAACAAGGUUUCCGUAGGUGAACCUGCGGAAGGAUCAUUACAGUAGUCACCCAGGUUGCCGCAAGGCCUCCUGGGUAACCUACCACCCUUUGUUUAUUACACUUUGUUGCUUUGGCAAGCCUGCCCUCGGGCUGCUGGCUCCGGCCGGCGAGCGCUUGCCAGAGGACCUAAACUCUGUUUGUCUAUACUGUCUGAGUACUAUAUAAUAGUUAAAACUUUCAACAACGGAUCUCUUGGUUCUG